GCUCCAAUAGCGUAUAUUAACUUUGUUGCAGUUAAAAGGCUCGUAGUCGAAUUUAUGGCCUUGUGGUCCUGGCCACUGCCAAGUGUAGUGAGCGCUGGUGUCCACGGGUCAUCCUUCUGGAAGCACUUCUGGCCUUCACUGGUUCGGUUGCUGCAAUCCAGAUCAUUUACUGUGAAUAAUCAAAGUGUUCAAGCAGGCUU
RNAcentral lists this ribosomal RNA (200 nucleotides) under uncultured eukaryote. Its description in RNAcentral is "partial 18S ribosomal RNA". It matches the Rfam family "Eukaryotic small subunit ribosomal RNA", at positions 588 to 787 of the family's 1831-position model. The record is from RNAcentral.